GAAUGGGAUCUACAAAUGUAUGGAAGCAGGACUGAGCAUUUGAAACUGGUCUUAUCUUUUCCAGAAGAGAAGAAGAAAUUGAUCAGAGAUUUUGAUGAAAAGCAACAAGAAGCAAAUGAAACGCUGGCAGAGAUGGAAGAGGAACUACGUUAUGCACCCCUGUCUUUUCGUAACCCUAUGAUGUCUAAGCUUCGAAACUACCGGAAGGACCUUGCCAAACUCCACAGGGAAGUAAGAAGCACGCCUUUGACAGCCACACCCGGGGGUCGAGGAGACAUGAAAUAUGGCACAUACACUGUAGAGAAUGAGCAUUUGAAUCAGCUACAGUCUCAGAGGGUAUUGCUUUUGCAAGGCACUGACAGCCUGAACCGGGCCACCCAGAGUAUUGAGCGUUCUCAUCGGAUUGCCACAGAAACUGACCAGAUUGGCUCGGAAAUUAUAGAAGAGCUGGGGGAGCAACGUGACCAGUUGGAACGUACCAAAAAUAGACUGGUAAACACAAAUGAAAACUUGAGCAAAAGUCGAAAGAUUCUUCGGUCAAUGUCCAGAAAAGUGACAACCAACAAGCUGCUACUUUCCAUUAUCAUCUUACUGGAGUUAGCCAUCCUGGGAGGCCUGGUUUAUUACAAAUUCUUUCGCAAGCAUUGAACUUCCUGCACGGAAGGGUUUGUGGACCAGAACUUUGACCCUGAGAAUGAAUAGUGUUACAGAUGUGGAAUAAGUGUAUUGCUGCUGUGAGCUAACGGUUCAAGGAUGCACUGUGUAGCCAGACUGUGGGAAGAGGGAGGGAAGAUGGAAAACCAGUUAAUGUGAAGAAACAGCAACAAGACCACUGUGAUAUAACAAGGAAGUUGGUCAUAGACAUUGUGCCCUCCUUCCCUUGUCUGACCAAAACUUGAAGCAAUCACAUCCACUGCCAGGCCAGCUGUAGCCUUGGCUUCUUCGUCUGAAGCAGCCAACUGAGGAUUAACUUCAACGAGAUCCAGUGCUGACAGCAACCCUAAAAGAACAAAGUGUGACAAAACCUCAGAAAAUCCCUUAGCUGCUGCUUUCAGUGAGGGUCGUACCACCUGGACAGAAUAAACCAAGGUCUUGCCAUUGUUGACAACACAGUCGUGGGACGGGCAGAUUUUGAAUGGCAGUACCUACACUUGGAUGCUUCUACUUCCACGUCCUUGUUUAUCUCAGCACCUCCUUAAACCGCAUCAAGCAUUCAGAAGGCACUGUAGGACAGAAUGAACCUGAAACUGCAAGGAAGCUCGUAUGACAAACAGAUUUGGAACCAACUUGAACGGGCUCUGCUGUUUGACAUGCAGUGACAAGCAAAGCUCUGCACAGACUGACAGCCUCAGUGCUCCUCUCCCAGUGCCGGUUAUAAAACAUACGCCGAAUACUAUUAAGAUCUUUUAGGCCCAGGUGUCACCUUUGGCCCUGAUAAACAUCUCCAGGCUCCACUGGAGUGAAACAAGAACACAAGUGCAUCAACAGAAUGAUGCAACCAUCUGCUAGGGAAGAAAUCAAAACAGCCCUACCUGACCUUAGCAGUGUCUGCAGACAGCACUUCUAUUUAGGGUCCUGAUCACUAGGGAAUCCCUGCGAGAAGCCAGGGACAGGAAAGGAGAAAAAGGAGUAUAAGAAUCUGCCUCCACACACCACACUCCGCUAGCUGCUUUACAGGUAGCUGCUAAUCUUCACACCCUCAUGGGUUUCACAUACUUCAGAGGGAGAAAUUCAGCAGUUAAACAGCUCCAACUGUUUAGAGCCAGCCUGAGUCACCCUUUGGAUGGAGACUCAUAGAAGACAAUGUUACAAGCGAGCAGGCAUUUGUCAACAGCAUCAAGAUAACUCAUUUUCCCUCCUGCUGACUUCCACUCAUGGGGAACUCCAGCUGCUCCCAAGGCUCCCAGCAAGUGGAGAGAGAUGGGCUGACACGGAUAAUCCCCCGAGCCCCAUGGGCAGAAUAGUGGAUUUGGAGGAAAGCUCAGGGCCCAACAGUGUGCAGUUUUUUUGUUGUUUUUUUUUCAGGCUGUGCCUGAAAUAGAAUAGAGUGUUUAUGACUUGUCAGGAAUAACAAGUCAGUAAAACCUGGAGAAAAACAAAGAUGCUGAGAUCUCACUUGGUGCUGAGAGAGUACUAAUCCUAAUGGCUUUUACAAUUACAGACUCAAACACUCUGUAAGGCGGAUCUAGCUCCAUGCAAAGGGAAUUCUAGCAUUUUAAAGGACUGCUCCUGCUAAUUCUUAGAACCCCAAAGCUGUGCCUGGAAAACCAGUUCAUUGAAAACAAAGCUG
This is an RNA transcript of Myotis brandtii (Brandt's bat), 2290 nucleotides long. It is a transcript of the gene named vesicle transport through interaction with t-SNAREs 1B, with no coding region annotated. The transcript has 8 exons. The record is from RefSeq and is a predicted model, not a curated record. Lineage: Eukaryota; Metazoa; Chordata; Mammalia; Chiroptera; Vespertilionidae.